AUUUCUUAAGAAGAAUACCUAGAAACAUCUGGGGUCCUUCUAUUUCAUUGUCUUACAAUUAUUAGGCUUUGUGUAAACGCUCGCAGAUUGAAUGACGAAAUAAAAGAAGAAACUACAGCACAGCCUGAGAGAUGUAGCUGGUGCUGCCACUUUUCCUUCAUUUUUCCCUGCCUUGAAUAUGGUGGUGAUGCCUGGAGCUUCAGCAGCCAUCUUAUGGCCAUGAAAUGGCAAGCAUGAGAAUGAAAGAAAAUGCACUCAUCAUGAAAGGAGGAAGAGCAGAAGAAAUCUGGGUCACUGGUGAUAUCAAUGGAUAGCUGAAGCAGUGUGGGCGCCUCCUUGACCGUCCAUGAUAUUGCAAAUAUGUGGUGCCAAAAGCUUAUGUGUACUUCGUCAAACUGACCAUGGCAGCUGGACGUCUCCAAGCAGCCACACAUGUGAAGGCGGAACUCACCCAGGCCAGCCUAACAGGCCUGGGAAUUUCCAAAGUAAAUUAUCAAGAAAGCCGAGGCUAUGAAACCCACAAGUUUAAAAUGGGCAGGGGGCUAAUUGUCUCUGAAGUUUAAAUGGCUUGUUUAUAAAAGGCUUCUCCAGCAUUCGUAUUUUUUCCCCAUUUCUUGAAAACUACAUUCCACUUGAAAGGAGUGAGAGGGAAACGCAGGCGCCCUGUGAGCCUUGUGAGUUUGCCGUUGAGCUCUGCUUCCUUUCAAGAUCUUCACUUCUGGGAGAGCUCCUC
This 733-nucleotide long non-coding RNA is filed under the name Homo sapiens (human). Its description in RNAcentral is "HSALNT0348394". The record is from RNAcentral. Lineage: Eukaryota; Metazoa; Chordata; Mammalia; Primates; Hominidae.